GACGAACGCUGGCGGCGUGCUUAACACAUGCAAGUCGAACGGACAGGCCCUGCUUUUGUUGCGUUCUCGUUUGGCGAACGGGUGAGUAACACGUGUGUAACCUGCCCUUGACAUUCGGAUAACUCCAGGAAACUGGGGCUCAUACCGCAUAGGAGCUCCUGCUGCAUGGUGGUGGUUGGUAAGAUUCGGCGGUUGGGGAUGGACUCGCUGCUUAUCCGCUUGUUUGUGUGGUAGUGGCUUACCAAGGCUGUGACGGGUAGGCGGCCUGAGAGGGGUAACGGCGACAUGGCGACUAAGAUACGGCGCAGUAUCCUACGGGAGGCAGCAGGGGAGAAUAUGGCAGAACGGGGGGGAGUCUGAGACAGCGACGUCCGGAGCGUGAUGCCGGCCUUCGGGUUGUAAACCGCUGUGGAAGGUGACGAAGCGUUAGUAACGGUAAUGGGUAAAAAAGCACCGGCUAACUACGUG
Molecule: ribosomal RNA, 468 nt
Filed under: uncultured bacterium
Lineage: Bacteria
Description: partial 16S ribosomal RNA
Rfam family: Bacterial small subunit ribosomal RNA
Source: RNAcentral